UUGCUCGAUGAAGAACGGGACGCCCUGCGCGCGGCUGCUGACCGCGUCAACGGUCUGCGGCUCGGGCUCGGCGCCGAGCAGG
RNAcentral lists this transfer RNA (82 nucleotides) under Actinoplanes regularis. RNAcentral describes it as "tRNA-Ser". The record is from RNAcentral. Lineage: Bacteria; Bacillati; Actinomycetota; Actinomycetes; Micromonosporales; Micromonosporaceae.